Long non-coding RNA from Tachysurus vachellii, 525 nucleotides. RefSeq lists it as uncharacterized. Lineage: Eukaryota; Metazoa; Chordata; Actinopteri; Siluriformes; Bagridae. The transcript has 3 exons. The record is from RefSeq and is a predicted model, not a curated record.
AUAAUAACAGCGUCCCUUUUAAAAACACGAGUUAUUAUUUCUAGUUGUUUUGUGUCUGCGAUUUUUUACAUUUAAAAAGAACACGCAGAAAGACUCAUGUUACUGUCAAGAAAUUCUGCUUCAUCCACUGUCCAAACAGAGCCUUUCCCUCCAUCAACACGUACAAAGCACUUAUGGAGGCUUAGGUUGUGCCGGACUGCAUUCUACAUGUGUGGGGGGAUUUGCCAGUAUCCUGGAGGUAGCAUGUCAGAUGAGGCUGUGUUUUGUGCAUGUAGAAUGCUCAAACUCUGACAGGACUGCAGGCUUCCUGAAGGAGUACUGGACUGCUUCAAUCUUGGGCUAGCCUGGAGUCAAAGAUCAUGUUGGGCAAUUACUCCUUAUCCAUUUAAAGAAUAUUUUACCAUGAGUACUGUAUUAUAUCAUUGAUACUUCAUCAAAUGUGCUUACAUCAAAAAGAUGCAGGUACAUAGAGUGUAGCCUCUGCUUUUCCAGAACCAACUGCAAUAAGUACACAGCAUAUCGGCG